RNAcentral lists this ribosomal RNA (1455 nucleotides) under Escherichia coli. RNAcentral describes it as "partial 23S ribosomal RNA". It matches the Rfam family "Bacterial large subunit ribosomal RNA", at positions 312 to 1769 of the family's 2925-position model. Lineage: Bacteria; Pseudomonadati; Pseudomonadota; Gammaproteobacteria; Enterobacterales; Enterobacteriaceae. The record is from RNAcentral.
CUGAAUCAGUGUGUGUGUUAGUGGAAGCGUCUGGAAAGGCGCGCGAUACAGGGUGACAGCCCCGUACACAAAAAUGCACAUGCUGUGAGCUCGAUGAGUAGGGCGGGACACGUGGUAUCCUGUCUGAAUAUGGGGGGACCAUCCUCCAAGGCUAAAUACUCCUGACUGACCGAUAGUGAACCAGUACCGUGAGGGAAAGGCGAAAAGAACCCCGGCGAGGGGAGUGAAAAAGAACCUGAAACCGUGUACGUACAAGCAGUGGGAGCACGCUUAGGCGUGUGACUGCGUACCUUUUGUAUAAUGGGUCAGCGACUUAUAUUCUGUAGCAAGGUUAACCGAAUAGGGGAGCCGAAGGGAAACCGAGUCUUAACUGGGCGUUAAGUUGCAGGGUAUAGACCCGAAACCCGGUGAUCUAGCCAUGGGCAGGUUGAAGGUUGGGUAACACUAACUGGAGGACCGAACCGACUAAUGUUGAAAAAUUAGCGGAUGACUUGUGGCUGGGGGUGAAAGGCCAAUCAAACCGGGAGAUAGCUGGUUCUCCCCGAAAGCUAUUUAGGUAGCGCCUCGUGAAUUCAUCUCCGGGGGUAGAGCACUGUUUCGGCAAGGGGGUCAUCCCGACUUACCAACCCGAUGCAAACUGCGAAUACCGGAGAAUGUUAUCACGGGAGACACACGGCGGGUGCUAACGUCCGUCGUGAAGAGGGAAACAACCCAGACCGCCAGCUAAGGUCCCAAAGUCAUGGUUAAGUGGGAAACGAUGUGGGAAGGCCCAGACAGCCAGGAUGUUGGCUUAGAAGCAGCCAUCAUUUAAAGAAAGCGUAAUAGCUCACUGGUCGAGUCGGCCUGCGCGGAAGAUGUAACGGGGCUAAACCAUGCACCGAAGCUGCGGCAGCGACGCUUAUGCGUUGUUGGGUAGGGGAGCGUUCUGUAAGCCUGCGAAGGUGUGCUGUGAGGCAUGCUGGAGGUAUCAGAAGUGCGAAUGCUGACAUAAGUAACGAUAAAGCGGGUGAAAAGCCCGCUCGCCGGAAGACCAAGGGUUCCUGUCCAACGUUAAUCGGGGCAGGGUGAGUCGACCCCUAAGGCGAGGCCGAAAGGCGUAGUCGAUGGGAAACAGGUUAAUAUUCCUGUACUUGGUGUUACUGCGAAGGGGGGACGGAGAAGGCUAUGUUGGCCGGGCGACGGUUGUCCCGGUUUAAGCGUGUAGGCUGGUUUUCCAGGCAAAUCCGGAAAAUCAAGGCUGAGGCGUGAUGACGAGGCACUACGGUGCUGAAGCAACAAAUGCCCUGCUUCCAGGAAAAGCCUCUAAGCAUCAGGUAACAUCAAAUCGUACCCCAAACCGACACAGGUGGUCAGGUAGAGAAUACCAAGGCGCUUGAGAGAACUCGGGUGAAGGAACUAGGCAAAAUGGUGCCGUAACUUCGGGAGAAGGCACGCUGAUAUGUAGGUGAAGUCCCU